RNAcentral lists this ribosomal RNA (1265 nucleotides) under Staphylococcus aureus. Its description in RNAcentral is "partial 23S ribosomal RNA". It matches the Rfam family "Bacterial large subunit ribosomal RNA", at positions 526 to 1793 of the family's 2925-position model. The record is from RNAcentral. Lineage: Bacteria; Bacillati; Bacillota; Bacilli; Caryophanales; Staphylococcaceae.
CCGGCGAGGGGAGUGAAAAAGAACCUGAAACCGUGUACGUACAAGCAGUGGGAGCCUCUUUAUGGGGUGACUGCGUACCUUUUGUAUAAUGGGUCAGCGACUUAUAUUCUGUAGCAAGGUUAACCGAAUAGGGGAGCCGAAGGGAAACCGAGUCUUAACUGGGCGUUAAGUUGCAGGGUAUAGACCCGAAACCCGGUGAUCUAGCCAUGGGCAGGUUGAAGGUUGGGUAACACUAACUGGAGGACCGAACCGACUAAUGUUGAAAAAUUAGCGGAUGACUUGUGGCUGGGGGUGAAAGGCCAAUCAAACCGGGAGAUAGCUGGUUCUCCCCGAAAGCUAUUUAGGUAGCGCCUCGUGAAUUCAUCUCCGGGGGUAGAGCACUGUUUCGGCAAGGGGGUCAUCCCGACUUACCAACCCGAUGCAAACUGCGAAUACCGGAGAAUGUUAUCACGGGAGACACACGGCGGGUGCUAACGUCCGUCGUGAAGAGGGAAACAACCCAGACCGCCAGCUAAGGUCCCAAAGUCAUGGUUAAGUGGGAAACGAUGUGGGAAGGCCCAGACAGCCAGGAUGUUGGCUUAGAAGCAGCCAUCAUUUAAAGAAAGCGUAAUAGCUCACUGGUCGAGUCGGCCUGCGCGGAAGAUGUAACGGGGCUAAACCAUGCACCGAAGCUGCGGCAGCGACACUAUGUGUUGUUGGGUAGGGGAGCGUUCUGUAAGCCUGCGAAGGUGUACUGUGAGGUAUGCUGGAGGUAUCAGAAGUGCGAAUGCUGACAUAAGUAACGAUAAAGCGGGUGAAAAGCCCGCUCGCCGGAAGACCAAGGGUUCCUGUCCAACGUUAAUCGGGGCAGGGUGAGUCGACCCCUAAGGCGAGGCCGAAAGGCGUAGUCGAUGGGAAACAGGUUAAUAUUCCUGUACUUGGUGUUACUGCGAAGGGGGGACGGAGAAGGCUAUGUUGGCCGGGCGACGGUUGUCCCGGUUUAAGCGUGUAGGCUGGUUUUCCAGGCAAAUCCGGAAAAUCAAGGCUGAGGCGUGAUGACGAGGCACUACGGUGCUGAAGCAACAAAUGCCCUGCUUCCAGGAAAAGCCUCUAAGCAUCAGGUAACAUCAAAUCGUACCCCAAACCGACACAGGUGGUCAGGUAGAGAAUACCAAGGCGCUUGAGAGAACUCGGGUGAAGGAACUAGGCAAAAUGGUGCCGUAACUUCGGGAGAAGGCACGCUGAUAUGUAGGUGAAGCGACUUGCUCGUGGAGCUGAAAUCAGUC